Molecule: ribosomal RNA, 497 nt
Filed under: uncultured bacterium
Lineage: Bacteria
Description: partial 16S ribosomal RNA
Rfam family: Bacterial small subunit ribosomal RNA
Source: RNAcentral
GAUGAACGCUGGCGGCGUGCCUAAUACAUGCAAGUCGAGCGAACGGACGAGAAGCUUGCUUCUCUGAUGUUAGCGGCGGACGGGUGAGUAACACGUGUAUAACCUACCUAUAAGACUGGGAUAACUUCGGGAAACCGGAGCUAAUACCGGAUGAUAUUUUGAACCGCAUGGUUCAAAAGUGAAAGACGGUCUUGCUGUCGCUUAUAGAUGGAUCCGCGCUGCAUUAGCUAGUUGGUAAGGUAACGGCUUACCAAGGCAACGAUGCAUAGACGAACUGAGUGAGGGGUCGGCCACACUAGAGCUGGGACAGGGUCCUGGCGCCUGCGGGAGGCAGCAGUAGGGUAUCUUACGCAAUAGGCGAAAGCCUGACGGAGCGACGCGGCGUGAGUGAUGAAGGUCUUCGGAUCGUAAAGCUCUGUUAUUAGGGAAGAACAGAUGUGUAAGUAAAUGUGCACAUAUUGACGGUACCUAAUCAGAAAGCCACGGCUAACUACGUG